GGCAGUUCUCGGGUGAUGCACCCCAGAAUUGGGCUCCUUCCUCUCUGGUUAUAGGUGUGUCACCCAAGAACCACA
Non-coding RNA from Myotis davidii, 75 nucleotides. Lineage: Eukaryota; Metazoa; Chordata; Mammalia; Chiroptera; Vespertilionidae. The record is from Rfam.